Molecule: long non-coding RNA, 1967 nt
Organism: Chelonia mydas (Green sea turtle)
Lineage: Eukaryota; Metazoa; Chordata; Testudines; Cheloniidae
Exons: 3
Source: RefSeq, a predicted model, not a curated record
GGCUCCGGCUCCGGCUCCGGCUCCGGCUCCGGCUCCUAGACCCCUUAAAAGAUUGUGACCUAAGCCCAACAAUCCUCAAAAGCAGUUAGGAACCUGGGGUAUGGAAAUGUCUAGCUGUAAGAAGACUAAUUACAUGUAAGGGACAUGGAGGCAUAUGUGAGACUCAACCCUUCAGUGCUGCAGUUAAUGAACCUGGAGAAGGAGGUGAAGCAAGCCGGAAGCAAAGUUGCUCAGAAACACAGGGAAGAAGUACAGAUAAGGGCUCUGAGAAGAGGCAAUUAGUUCCCACUAUCUGUGUCCCUGAGCAACAUUUCACACCUGGUUGGCCUUUUCCCCCCUGCUAGUCUGGGUUUAUUGACUUCCUCUAGGGGCAGGGAAGAGCAGGUGGACUGAAGAACAUCAAGGAUGGGGAGGCAGCUACGUUUCAGUAUAACAAUACAAUGGUGGCGUUCUCUAUUAGCCUGCUGACCACUGCCUGCCUCCCUAGCGAGUCCUUCUGUGAAAGAGGACUUGGAUGGUCUACUCUAUGCUUUGCAAUGCACCGAUGAUCGUCUCCUCCACGCUGCCGCUUCAGAGCAUGGAAACCAGCCAUCAGGGGACAGCUUAAAGGACCUCUGCAAUAGUGGUAGCCAUGCCCCACCAGGCAACAGUUUUCAGGCAAAUGUGUAUCAGUCCCCUGGAAAGCUCAGUCUGUGGUGACCGGAGAUUUUACCAGUGCAGCUGAUGACAGUUGCUGCCUAUAUCAAAGGGGAAGAGAUGUCCUCUUUGUGUGUCUAGGGAUUGGAGAGAGGUUUCCGCCUCAGUUUUGCACAUUCCCAAGAAGUGGCUGGUGAAGCAUGCUCCUGUACCCUUCAUCCCUGCCUAUUGGCCUGAUCCAAAUCCCACUGAAGUUGAUGCUCUGGUUCCACCCGGACAGGCAAUCGGCUUAAACGUCCAGCUGGGGAUACCCUCUGCAUAGAGGAGCCCCAAUGGUUUAACAAUGGCCUAGCUGGCUCUGUGCCACCUGCUGCUGCCCAGCCCAGUGUAGUAAGUAUUCCAGGGCAGGGACAAGCAGGGAGCCUGGCUGAAGUGUGCCAUCUCUGGCAAUCCUUGGCCAGCAUGAUGGUCCCUGGAGGACAAUUACGGUCAGUAUGGAGAGACUGCAGAAAGCUUCCUAAAACCCAGCCCCUGGGAGGGCUGCUGAGCACAGCUUGCAUGCACCUGGGCCAGAGAUAGGCUUGGCAGAAUCCAGUUUUUAUUUUUUCUAAUUUCAACAGAUAUUUUAAAGUUCCCAAUAUUUAUCUAUUUGAAUUUUCACAGUUGCAGGAAAAUAAGGGGUGUGGGGGGGAGAGGCUUAGGGCAGCACUGAUAGAAGAGUUAUAGGGGGCUCCUAGUGCUGCCAAGGGGCCUGAGAUACCUGGGAGUCAGGUGCAGGGGAGGUUGCAAUCCUGGCCCCGUGGAGCAGUGAAUACCAACCAGGCAGGAGGACAAGACCCUGGUCUUGGGGGAAGCCACCUUGCUGUUGAAGGGCUCUUGCCAGGGAUAGCCCCAGCACUCCUGGCCAGUGAGUGAGUGUUGCUGUGACAGCAGGGCUACAGAAGGCUCCCUGCAGGGCGGAUGACACCGGAUCCCUGCAGGCACUAGGCUGGGGGAAGCUGUGCUUGCUAACAUCAAUAUUUUUUUGUUGUUGAUUUCAGUGUCAGGUGAAACUGACGUGUACCAAUGACUAAUGAUUUAAAUUGAAUCCUGCCAAGCCUACCCACAGAUUGUAAUGAGUCAUGCUGCUAAAUCCUCAUGAAACAUUUUGAUGCUAUAAUGAUGGGCUCUAUAGAAAACCAGAGAGGGGAGAGAGAACAAGCUGGAAAAGUCCAGAAAACUCUCCAGCCUGAGGGGCACUGUAUAUAAUUAAACUAUAGCCAGCUAGCUAUAUAAACUGCCAGAAAACAAAUAGCCACUCAUAUGAGAUGUAUAGAUACACUGGCCCAUCU